This 253-nucleotide ribosomal RNA is filed under the name uncultured bacterium. Its description in RNAcentral is "partial 16S ribosomal RNA". It matches the Rfam family "Bacterial small subunit ribosomal RNA", at positions 524 to 776 of the family's 1533-position model. The record is from RNAcentral.
UACGGUGGGGGCAAGCGUUGUUCGGAAUUACUGGGCGUAAAGGGCUCGUAGGUGGCCAACUAAGUCAGACGUGAAAUCCCUCGGCUUAACCGGGGAACUGCGUCUGAUACUGGAUGGCUAGAGUUUGGGAGAGGGAUGCGGAAUUCCAGGUGUAGCGGUGAAAUGCGUAGAUAUCUGGAGGAACACCGGUGGCGAAGGCGGCAUCCUGGACCAACACUGACGCUGAGGAGCGAAAGCCAGGGGAGCAAACGGG